UGACAUGAUGAACAAUGUGAGAUCAAAUUAUCUAUGUGUUUUUUUUUUGAGCCAAGACCCAAAAUUGUCAUAAGAAAACUGUCAGACCUGUCUUCCUUUAUCGAACUUGUCCAAAUAAUCUUACACAAUUUGCUCCACAUCAAACAUCAUCAUCGAGACUAAUUAGUAAUCCGCCAUCAAAUUUCGUCACACUCAUAUAUAUAUUUAUAUGCACAAAAUUAAGGAUAAUUCUACUUUAAUCUUCCUUGACAAAUAAAACUAUUAGGUUUCAACAAUAAGCAACAAAAACUAUAUAUAUAUAUUUCACCAGUCGUCAUUGCAUACAAUCAUUAAACCAACAUAUGAAGUUACAAAUUCACGUUCAAAAUUUAUAAGAACAUAAAUUGCAGUAAAAAUUUUACGGAUCCACGGCUACAAGCGAGGGAGAUUCUUGGGAAGGAACUGGAGCGGGGCGGGGCUUCUGCUUGUCUUGAUUAGCUUUGUGCUUCUCGUACUUAUCGAUCGCCUCCCUGCAAAUAAGCCCAAGUAGAACUGCGCUGCCGUACAACACAUAAGUGCCUACUUUGCCUUCCACCAUAUUUAUGUUCGUACCAACACACACAAUCCUCUUGUUGUCCUAAGAGAGAGUUGAUAAAGCCAAAGGUGCUAAGUGUUUUAUUUUGUUAUUUUCAAACGUUAUUUAGGCGUAUUAUAUUUUAAGGUAAAAUGGCCUAAUAGUAGCAAUUAGCAAUGACCCAACUACCACAUCCACAUGUCUCAAACGUUAGUUCAUUUUGUGUUUCUGAUUUCACUACAAAAUAUUAGAUAAUAUAAUAUUUUGAACCGAAAAUCUUAUUUUAAAUUAUGUUUUUAAUUUUCUUUAACAUAAUAGUAUUUCAUAUUAUGCUUUAAUAUGAUAUUUGGGACUAUUGUUUUAGAAUCAUUAGGUGGUAUUUGAGAUCUUAUUUCUCAUAUUUGUGUGAGGAAAGACUGACAUCCAAUUUUUAAAUAUGGUUUAUGCUAGGUGAGUUUCUUGUUAAAGAAGACUACAUAAAAGGAAAAAUAGAGUUGGGGGAAGCAAGUAGCACUACCCGAAUUCGGAACCAGGACGCCUAUAUUUUGCCUUCAUGCAUUUUAC
This 1117-nucleotide long non-coding RNA is filed under the name Daucus carota (carrot). RNAcentral's name for it is "long non-coding RNA (DCAR_LNC000660)". The record is from RNAcentral. Lineage: Eukaryota; Viridiplantae; Streptophyta; Magnoliopsida; Apiales; Apiaceae.